This is a long non-coding RNA of Anguilla rostrata (American eel), 1334 nucleotides long. RefSeq lists it as uncharacterized. The record is from RefSeq and is a predicted model, not a curated record. Lineage: Eukaryota; Metazoa; Chordata; Actinopteri; Anguilliformes; Anguillidae. The transcript is spliced from 3 exons.
CUUCAGGUACGUUGACGCAACCUGUCAUUCAGCGCACAGGGAGCCUUCCUGUGCAGCGCGGGUAGCAAGUUAACAAAAUGGACCGAUUUGUUAAGCUGCACCAUCCACAUCAUCAAGCGAACCUGAUACUGAACAUUCAAAACGGUCUCGAAAAUAUGAUGAAUCAUUUCUUCGGUAUGGAUUUACGAGCGUCAUCGUGAACAACACGGAAAAGCCCAAAUGCCUCUUGUGCGGUAUUGUGCGGAGAGUAUGAAACCAAACAAAUGUAAAAGACACUUUGAGACAACACACAAAGAAUACAUGGGGAAGCCAAAAUCAUGUUUCGAAAGAAAACGUGAUGAGCUGAGCAGGCAGCGGAUGCACUUUAGAAAAGUUCCCUUCGCAAGCACUUAUUUGUGCGAAGCAGGACUUAGCGCUCUUGUUUGCAUGAAAUCAAAGUACUGUUCCAGGCUAGACGUGACAGAUGAGAUGAGAUGCGCGCUCUCGACUACAGCCCCUGACUUUGAUAAGCUGCAGCGCGACCAUCUCAAUAGACAUGUAAGCUACCAACCAGCAAGGGGUGCUGUGGCAAAUCCUACUUCCCACGGCUGCAGGAAAGAGGGAUGGAAAUCUGUAAGUUUCCAAAUUUCCACAAAUAAAGGCUAUGGCUGGCAUUUCCUGGAGGAGUCAGAGGAGGAAGAGGACUGGGACGGGCUGGAUGGGUCCAGAUUGUGCAAAUGUGUUGGAACCUUUGCCACUGUGGGUACUGUGCCCUGCCUGGGGAACCCAAGACCGGCCACACGCUAUCCAGAGGUGCUGCUAGAAAUGAGUAUGAGUGUCUGAGUGAAUGGUGAGGGAAUGGUGUGUGUGUGCUGUGAUAGAUUGCUGACCUGUCCAAGGUGUUUUCCUGCCUCUAGCCCAAUGCAUGCUGGGAUAGGCUCCAGCACCCCCCGCGACCCUGAUCAGGAAUAAGUGUGUAUAGAUAAUGGAUGGAUAUAUCCAGUAUAUAUAGACACACACUGACCAUAUUGGCAAUAUUCACACAGAUAUAUACAAUACUUGUGUGUGAUAUGUGUAGUUGUCUGUUCAUGUGUGCAAGUGUAUAUUUGCAUGCAUACGUGUGUAUUUGUGCCUACAAAUAUCUUUUGUCAUUUUAAGAAAACCUAUGAAUAACCAUAAUUGAGCUUUGACCUGUCUGCUGUUCUGUUAGUAAAACACAUAAAGGAUUUAAAAGCUGUGUAGUGCUUGAAUACUCCCCUCAGUAUGUCUUGUAGGGCAAAGCAACUACUGUUGGAAUCUUCCCAAGCUUUUAAAGUAAUGUCUCAAAUGCACUGUAGGUAUCUGGUGUCAGAAGC